Oreochromis aureus is the source of this 534-nucleotide long non-coding RNA. RefSeq lists it as uncharacterized. The record is from RefSeq and is a predicted model, not a curated record. The transcript has 2 exons. NCBI's taxonomy places the organism in Eukaryota, Metazoa, Chordata, Actinopteri, Cichliformes, Cichlidae.
UUGGUCACUUUAACUGUUUAGACUACGUUACCCAUGAUGCACCUCGGUAUCUGUACUUCCGGUUGGGAAUGUGUUCAGCACAGUUCUGCACAGAUGAGAGGUGUGUCGGAGGUGUCGGAGGAUUAACGUUUUUCCUUGCAUUCCUGUGUGUGUUAACCCUGUGUGCGUGCUUAUCAUAUGACCACACACUCAUAUACACACUCACACUCCCUUCACCUGCAUUUUUGAAUACAGUAAUGCAAUCGCCUCCCCACCAACGCUGUACAUCCUGUUGAUGUCAUCUGCCACCUCCUUAUUAAAGUUACUUGAACUACAUCACUGUGGAGUGCCAUUCCUUCUGACCGAGGACGACUCAGUUGAAGCGUGAUCGGCAAUCAGUGCAAACAUACAUUACAUAGACUGAUGCACCUCCGUAACAGACUGUAGAGGGUUUCUGGGGCAGUGACAUGAACACUUUGUCUUUAUUUAUACUGUCAUAUUUUCCUGUUACAUAAACCACAGCAUGCUGAAUAUGAAUAAACUGCAUUUAUGCAA